Molecule: ribosomal RNA, 425 nt
Filed under: uncultured bacterium
Lineage: Bacteria
Description: partial 16S ribosomal RNA
Rfam family: Bacterial small subunit ribosomal RNA
Source: RNAcentral
GUGGGGAAUCUUGCGCAAUGGGCGAAAGCCUGACGCAGCCAUGCCGCGUGAAUGAUGAAGGUCUUAGGAUUGUAAAAUUCUUUCACCGGGGACGAUAAUGACGGUACCCGGAGAAGAAGCUCCGGCUAACUUCGUGCCAGCAGCCGCGGUAAUACGAAGGGGGCUAGCGUUGCUCGGAAUUACUGGGCGUAAAGGGCGCGUAGGCGGACAGCUUAGUCAGAGGUGAAAGCCCAGGGCUCAACCUUGGAAUUGCCUUUGAUACUGGCUGUCUUGAGUUUGGGAGAGGAGAGUGGAACUCCGAGUGUAGAGGUGAAAUUCGUAGAUAUUCGGAAGAACACCAGUGGCGAAGGCGACUCACUGGCCCAAUACUGACGCUGAGGCGCGAAAGCGUGGGGAGCAAACAGGAUUAGAAACCCCAGUAGUCC